This 559-nucleotide ribosomal RNA is filed under the name Chloroflexi bacterium oral taxon 439. Its description in RNAcentral is "bacterial SSU rRNA". It matches the Rfam family "Bacterial small subunit ribosomal RNA", at positions 367 to 947 of the family's 1533-position model. Lineage: Bacteria; Bacillati; Chloroflexota. The record is from RNAcentral.
CUAAAUGGGCGAAAGCCUGAAGCAGCAACGCCGCGUGGAACGAAGAAGCCUUCGGGGCGUAAAGUUCUUUUACGUGGGAAGAGGAAGACAGUACCACGGGAAUAAGUCUCGGCUAACUACGUGCCAGCAGCCGCGGUAAAACGUAGAGGCGAGCGUUAUCCGGAUUUACUGGGCGUAAAGAGCGUGUAGGAGGCAAAACAAGACGGAUGUGAAAGCCCCCGGCUUAACCGGGGGAGGUCGUACGUGACUGUAGAGCUAGAGUGAGUUAGAGGUAAGCGGAACUCCGGGAGUAGUGGUGAAAUGCGUAGAUAUCCGGAAGAACAUCAGAGGCGAAAGCGGCUUACUGGGACUUAACUGACACUGAGACGCGAAAGCCAGGGUAGCAAACGGGAUUAGAGACCCCGGUAGUCCUGGCUGUAAACGAUGUAGACUGGACGUUUUCGGGGUAAAAGCUGAGAGUGUCGAAGCGAACGCGAUAAGUCUACCGCCUGGGGAGUACGGUCGCAGGAUUAAACUCAAGGAAUUGACGGGGCCCGCACAGCAGCGGAGCGUGUGUUUA